RNAcentral lists this ribosomal RNA (367 nucleotides) under uncultured bacterium. Its description in RNAcentral is "bacterial SSU rRNA". It matches the Rfam family "Bacterial small subunit ribosomal RNA", at positions 354 to 714 of the family's 1533-position model. The record is from RNAcentral.
UGAGGGAAUAUUUGGGGUCAAUGGGCGGAAGCCUGAACCAGCCAUGCCGCGUGCGGGAAGGAGGCCCUAUGGGCUGUGAACCGCUUUUGCCUGGGGGCAAUAAGGGCGUCGCGCACGUCCGAUGAGAGUACCAGGCGAAUAAGCAUCGGCUAACUCCGUGCCAGCAGCCGCGGUAAUACGGGGGAUGCGAGCGUUAUCCGGAUUCAUUGGGUUUAAAGGGUGCGUAGGCUGUGCGUCAAGUCGGGGGUGAAAUUCCGGUGCUCAACACCGGGGCUGCCCUUGAUACUGUCGCGCUGGAGUGCGGAUGCCGCCGGAGGAAUGAGUGGUGUAGCGGUGAAAUGCUUAGAUAUCACUCAGAACACCGAUU